GGGACUACAGGCGCCCGCCAUCACGCCCGGCUGCUUUUUUUGUUUUAGUAGAGAGGAGGUUUCACCGUGUUAGCCAGGAUGGUCUCAAUCUCCUGACCUCGUGAUCCGCCCGCCUCGGCCUCUCAAAGUGCUGGGAUUACACGCGUGAGCCACCGCGCCUGGCCUGAAGAAAGAAGUCAUUAAAGAAGCAACCCAUGGCAAAACUAGUUAUUUUCUUAAAACAGUAGGAAGAAGAAAAGCUUUUUGAAUGAAUCACUUCUCAUCUUCUCCGAAGUUGGAAGCAUCAAGAAUCUAAAUAAGCAUUUAUGAUGGCUGGCAUGAAUAUACAGGUGAAGACAGAACAAGAAAACAAACCAAGAAUUUCCCCUCACCAGCCACCAGCUCUGCCAGCAACUUGAUCUUAGACUUCCCAGCCUCCGUAACGCCUCUGCUUAUAAUCUGUCAUGGAUUGGAAAACUAGAAAAAACAGUUUACAGAGUAUAACAAACUUUGGAGGAGUUAAUCGACUCUAAGUAAAAGAGUAUCUAGCACGGCUGUGGAACAAAGGAGAGACUCACAAACUGUUGAAAGAAUAAAUGAAUGAAUGAAUUCUGUUCAUGAGCUUUAAUAAAACAGCUCUGAGUAGUAACAGUGGAUCAAAUUUAGGCUUCUUGAUGCAGGCAUGGUGUAGAUUACUACUUCUGUAUUGUCCCAGGAGCUCAGCACAUUCCUGCAGAGAUGAUAGGAGCUCAUCUGAUACUUGUCAGCUUUGAAUAAACUCCAGUCCCCAAGAGAGAGAAUGAGAAUCACCGGAAUACGAAACUUCCCUGUUGGACUUCCCAACAUUCUUGAAUGCACCAAGAUAGCCUCUUGCUGUGAGAUUAAUAAAUGAAUAAAUGCCUCCAUAUUUUUCAAAUCUGUGAAGUUAACAACAUGUAGAUUUUUUUGCAUAUUUAAAAACUGCAACUAAAUCUUAAUGCCUCUGAAGCAGAUGGAAGAAAAUAAUAGGCUUCCAUUAACUGUGUCAAAUUGUAUAGGUCUUGGCCAUCACUGGUCCUGUUGUGAUGAAGGUUUUUUGCCCUUGGAUAUAAUUUAAUUUUCAAUUCUUCUAAUUAUGGUACUUCAGAACAUCAAUAUUUGAGAUGAACUUCUCUAGUGUCAAGGACUGAUUUGAGUUGUGUAAACCCUGAAUAUCUGAGACAGGUCUCGAUUAUUUUAGAAAGUUUAUUUUGCCAAGGUUGAGGAUGUGUGCCUGUGACACGGCCUCGGGAGGUCCUGAGGACAUGUGCUCAAGGUGGUCAGAGCACAGCUUUGCUUUAUACAUUUUAGAGAGACAUGAGACAUCAACCGACAUAUGUAAGAUGAACAUUGGUUCCAUCUGGAAAGGCGAGACAACUUCAAACGAGGAGGGGGCUUCCAGGUCAUAGGUAGAUAAGAGACAAAUGGCUGCAUUCUUUUGAGUUUCUGAUUAGCCUUUCCAAAGGAGGCAAUUAGAGUGAGCAAAAUGAACAAAAUCAAUUAUUUUGAUUCUGAACAAAAUGGGAGGCUGGUUUUCCCUAAGCAGUUCCCAGCUUGACUUUUCCCUUUAGCUGAGGGAUUUGGGGGGCCCAAGAUUUAUUUUUCUUUCACCGUUGUAUCAAACUACACAGGCGGCCUUGGAAACCAUCACAGUUGAGAGUAGGUAACGCCCAUUUGUUGCAUAGUUUUGUGCUCCACACUCUUAUCUACAAAAUUAUGAAUUUUUUUACAUAUAUUAAUUUCAGAAAAACUAAAAAUAAAACAAAGUAGUUUCAAACUAGUAUUGUUUUUAUAUCUUAAAAAUAAAGCUUUAUAUACUCUCCUUAC
This 1824-nucleotide long non-coding RNA is filed under the name Homo sapiens (human). RNAcentral describes it as "uncharacterized LOC105376944, transcript variant 13 (LOC105376944)". Lineage: Eukaryota; Metazoa; Chordata; Mammalia; Primates; Hominidae. The record is from RNAcentral.